RNAcentral lists this ribosomal RNA (253 nucleotides) under uncultured bacterium. RNAcentral describes it as "partial 16S ribosomal RNA". It matches the Rfam family "Bacterial small subunit ribosomal RNA", at positions 524 to 776 of the family's 1533-position model. The record is from RNAcentral.
UACAGAGACUGCAAGCGUUAUUCGGAUUCACUGGGCGUAAAGGGUGCGCAGGCGGCCGAGUGUGUGAGGCGUGAAAGCCUGGGGCUUAACCCCAGAAUUGCACCUCAAACUACACGGCUAGAGCAUUGGAGAGGGUAGCAGAAUUCAUGGUGUAGCAGUGAAAUGCGUAGAUAUCAUGAGGAAUACCAGAGGCGAAGGCGGCUACCUGGACAAUUGCUGACGCUCAGGCACGAAAGCGUGGGGAGCAAAAGGG